UAAUACGGAGGAGGCAAGCGUUGUUCGGAAUCACUGGGCUUAAAGCGUGCGUAGGCGGGAUGGCAGGUGUCUUGUGAAAGCCCUCGGCUCAACCGAGGAAUUGCUGGGCAAACCGUCAUUCUUGAGGCCAGCAGGGGGACCUGGAACUUUGGGUGGAGCGGUGAAAUGCGUAGAUAUCCAAGGGAACGCCGGUGGCGAAAGCGGGGUCCUGGGCUGGUUCUGACGCUGAGGCACGAAAGCGUGGGUAGCAAACAGGAUUAGAUACCCUGGUAGUCCACGCCGUAAACGAUGCGCACUAGGUAUCAGCGCCUCUGACGGGGUUGGUGCCGUAGCGAAAGCAUUAAGUGCGCCGCCUGGGGAGUACGGCCGCAAGGCUA
RNAcentral lists this ribosomal RNA (377 nucleotides) under uncultured Planctomycetota bacterium. Its description in RNAcentral is "bacterial SSU rRNA". It matches the Rfam family "Bacterial small subunit ribosomal RNA", at positions 521 to 896 of the family's 1533-position model. The record is from RNAcentral. Lineage: Bacteria; Pseudomonadati; Planctomycetota.